Molecule: long non-coding RNA, 2775 nt
Organism: Triticum aestivum (bread wheat)
Lineage: Eukaryota; Viridiplantae; Streptophyta; Magnoliopsida; Poales; Poaceae
Exons: 4
Source: RefSeq, a predicted model, not a curated record
GGCCCGCACGUCGCCCGUCUCACCCACGUCCCGCACUCCUCCUCUCGCACCCUUCUCUCCCACGCACUGACGCCCCUCCCUCCUCUCCCUCACUCUGAUCUGAUCUGAAUCCACCGCCGCCCACCGUCACCCACCCCCACCGCCACCCACCGUCGCCCACCCCCUCCGCCGACGACCCUCACCAUCGAGCCCACGCCCAGAUCCGCGCUCUCUAGUACUCGCCCGCAACCCUCACCCGUGGCUAGGGUUUCGGCCGCCACCCCUAAAUUCGUCGGGAUCUGCCACAUCCAGCGACAGCGAGGCCAGAGGUGGCCGGAUCUGGCACCGGUGGAUGGGAUGACGACGAUGGCAGGAGGGGCGAACCUCCAUGGGACGGGUCGCCACCAUGGAGAUGGAGCUCCUUCUCCCCUACCACGCAACCUCCCUCCCAGCGCCAAUAGAGCACCGGCUACCAUGACGCGACAGCGCUGUCGCAAGCCUCGCGGGGCUGUGCAUCUCGUCGUCUGCCACGCCCUACCAGGAGCUACAUCACCCACACGUCUCCUCUGAAGAAGGGGACGAUGGCUUGUGCGUCGGCGUGGUUGGCUCCAGCUCCCCGCCGACCUAUGACUCCACAUGCGUCGCCGUCUUCGACCACAGGUCCAUGUCCUCGAUCUGCUUCCUUUGCUUCCCCUAGGUUUCCGCGUAGAUCUGGCCGUUUGAUUUGAUGCGGAUGCGAAUUUGGUUCUCCAUCGCUGUAGGUUUCCUGUGCGUACUCGCGUUCGAAUUAGCAUUGAAUCCCUCAGUUUAUGCAGUUUCGUUGUGGUUGAUUGACACCCCUGUGAAGAUAAAAUUCAGGACCAACCGUUAGCUUUUUGUGAAGAAAAAGCUAUUGGUAAAAAAAUCGUAGGAAACCCCCAAAAGCCUCGCUCUGCUGUACAUUAUAUUACUUGGGUUACUGCAACCCUGCCUGCCUGCUACUGUGUUAGUCUGCAACGCAUACCAAGUUGAUUUCAGUGCAUUUUUUCCAUAAUUAGACUUAUGAAGCUCAAACUGACCAUAUCAGCACUAGUCUCACAUUUAGAUUUAAAAUGUUGACUGGAAAUGUGUGUAGUCGGUAUUUGUCUUGUAGCAUGGCCAGAUUCAGAGACUCAACUCGUUUCUUCUUUUGUUCCUACAAGACGAUUCAACUUAACUUUAAAAAGUAACAGUAAAUUUGGAUACUGCCAGACACAAGAGAAGACUGUUACAAUGAUAGUAUGUGCUACAUUUGAUCCCAGGUUGUACAACAUAUCUGUUACUGCAGGUCACCCAUCCUCGAGGAGCAGAAGGAGGGACGCUCUGCUCCUCUUCUUCCUUGACCAUCGGUACCACCAUGUUCCCGGGCUUCCAAGGUGCGCCAGCACACCGCCGCCAUGCCUCCUCUGCUCUCCGGGCUCGGACCAAUCGCUCGCCCCUUAAGGUCCGGCAGCACCGCCGCGUCGACGACGAAGGUGGUGACUGCGGCGGUGAGCGGCGCGAGUUGGUGGCUGCGGGACUCGGCGGCACGACUCUCGUCAGCAGCGACAAAGGCGGUUGUUAGGCGAGCCGAGCGUGCCUCCUCCCCGUCCCCAAAAUCGCGUCCCUUUAACGCGUUCCAUUUCGAACAGCCGGCGCAUCAGCGUUGUCGGUCCGUUGCCUGAUUCCGACUAAUCCAGCUUCUUUUGGUCUAGCUGGGCAUUAUUUUGAGUUCAUAUAUGUGCUUGUCACUCCAUAUGUUAUAGUGAUUCCCUCUGUUUCUUACAUGUUCUUGUAGUUUGGUUGCUUUCCUGUUCAUGCAUGUUUGUACAGCAAUAUAUAGUUUUGCUGUGAAUCUGUCGUGCAUGUAUUGAAAUGCAGGAAAUGUUGAAUACAUGUUCACUCUCAGCUGGGAUAUUGAAUUGUACAUAGUUAUGUGAUUUAUUCAUGUCUGCUUCUUAUCUUAUUAAGUGAUUAUCUUUAUGUCCUUGCUACCAGUAGGAUGGUCAAUAGCUUGUUUUGUAGUUCUCUACUUUAUGCAAAUAGCUUCCUGUAGCAUUGUUCUACUAUCUGUGUGAUGCUGAACAAUAUGCUCUUAAUCUGUUGCUAUAUUCUCACCAAAUGCAUAGUUUUUUCUUAGACCUACUGUUAAACAAAAUAUUAACUUGUAUCAUUUUUUGUUAACAAUAAGCAUAGAAUUCCUGACUCUUAUGUUAUAUGAUCAACUUACUCCUGCUUCAACAACUGUACUAAUUCCUGACUGUUGUAUGUAAGGAGUAAAAUAGUUUACUUGAGUGAUAUCCACUGGUUCACUAUCUUAAAGCACCUUUUUAGCAUUGUGGGCUGCUAAUAGUAUUUUAGAUUUACCAUAUCCUCUCUGGAGCGAUGGCAGGAGCGCAUGAUAGACUACUAAAUGGACAAGUAUCUGCAACGUUCAGUGUCGAAGAUGAUGCUUACCAGAUGUUCUACUACAGCACCAUCCAUAUCAUCGACAUGAAGCUAGAUUUUGGCCUUCAUUCGUCAAAAGUUGGUGUACAAGGAAUUCCAGGAGAAGAAUCUUUAAGUAAAUAAUUUAUAUAGAUCAGGAUCUUAUGUUGUCGAGGUGGCUGCUGUUGUGACCAAAGAUCAGCCUGGAGAUGUGCAUCAUAGUUUUAGUUGAUGUUGCCACUAUGUUUUGUUGCAUGUGUAUUUGAGUGUAUGUACACUUGAUGGACCGUGUAGUCGUGUACGUGCUGUUUGAGUUUCAUUUAGUGAUUUCUGGAUUUGAUCAUUUAAUUCAGAAAAUUAUUUAUUGUUUGC